RNAcentral lists this ribosomal RNA (185 nucleotides) under uncultured bacterium. RNAcentral describes it as "partial 16S ribosomal RNA". It matches the Rfam family "Bacterial small subunit ribosomal RNA", at positions 335 to 524 of the family's 1533-position model. The record is from RNAcentral.
ACUCCUACGGAAGUCAGCAGUGGGGAAUUUUGCGCAAUGGACGAAAGUCUGACGCAGCAACGCCGCGUGAGUGAUGAAGGCCUUCGGGUUGUAAAGCUCUGUCAGGUGGAACGAAAAAGUAGCAAUACUCUGACGGUACCACCAGAGGAAGCACCGGCUAACUCCGUGCCAGCAGCCGCGGUAAU